AAAAAGAUAAGCUAAUAUAAGCUUUUGGGUUCAUACCCCAACUAUAAAGAUUUCUUUUCUUUUUA
This 65-nucleotide transfer RNA is filed under the name Diaphanes citrinus. RNAcentral describes it as "tRNA-Met". The record is from RNAcentral. Lineage: Eukaryota; Metazoa; Arthropoda; Insecta; Coleoptera; Lampyridae.